CAGAGGAUGUUUCUGGCGCGGUGCCUUCCGAGUUCCCUGGAACGGGACGCCAUAGAGGGUGAGAGCCCCGUAUGGUUGGAUACUAAGCCUGUGUGAAACUCCUUCGACGAGUCGAGUAGUUUGGGAAUGCUGCUCAAAAUGGGAGGUAAAUCUCUUCUAAAGCUAAAUAUUGGCCAGAGACCGAUAGCGCACAAGUAGAGUGAUCGAAAGAUGAAAAGCACCUUGAAAAGGGGGUUAAACAGUACGUGAAAUUGUUGAAAGGGAAGCGCUCAUGACCAGACUUGUGCUGGGCAGCUCAUCCGGGGUUCUCCCCGGUGCACUCUGCCCAGUUCAGGCCAGCAUCGAUUUUUGCUGGGGGAUAAGAACGGUAGGAACGUGGCCCUCCUUCGGGUGGGUGUUAUAGCCUGCCGUACGAUACCCUGGCGGAGAUCGAGGUUCGCGCAUCUGCAAGGAUGCUGGCGUAAUGGUCAUCAGCGACCCGUCUUGAAACACGGACCAAGGAGUCGUCCAUUAGAGCGAGCGUUUGGGUGUAAAACCCGCACGCGUAAUGAAAGUGAAAUUAGGUGAGAGCUUCGGCGCAUCAUCGACCGAUCCUGAUGUUCUCGGAAGGAUUUGAGUAAGAGUUUUAACGGACGGACCCGAAAGACAGUGAACUAUGCUUGUAUAGGGUGAAGCCAGAGGAAACUCUGGUGGAGGCUCGCAGCGGUUCUGACGUGCAAAUCGAUCGUCAAAUAUGAGCAUGGGGGCGAAAGACUAAUCGAACUGUCUAGUAGCUGGUUACCGCCGAG
Molecule: ribosomal RNA, 788 nt
Filed under: Coniella quercicola
Lineage: Eukaryota; Fungi; Ascomycota; Sordariomycetes; Diaporthales; Schizoparmaceae
Description: partial large subunit ribosomal RNA
Rfam family: Eukaryotic large subunit ribosomal RNA
Source: RNAcentral